RNAcentral lists this ribosomal RNA (499 nucleotides) under uncultured bacterium. Its description in RNAcentral is "partial 16S ribosomal RNA". It matches the Rfam family "Bacterial small subunit ribosomal RNA", at positions 28 to 507 of the family's 1533-position model. The record is from RNAcentral.
GAUGAACGCUGGCGGCGUGCCUAAUACAUGCAAGUCGAGCGAGCAGACGAGAGUGCUUGCACUCUCUGACGUUAGCGGCGGACGGGUGAGUAACACGUGGGUAACCUACCUAUAAGACUGGGAUAACUUCGGGAAACCGGAGCUAAUACCGGAUAAUAUUUAGCUUCGCAUGAAGCAAUAGUGAAAGACGGUUCUGCUGUCACUUAUAGAUGGACCCGCGGUGUAUUAGCUAGUUGGUGAGGUAACGGCUCACCAAGGCAACGAUACAUAGCCGACCUGAGAGGGUGAUCGGCCACACUGGGACUGAGACACGGCCCAGACUCCUACGGGAGGCAGCAGUAGGGAAUCUUCCGCAAUGGACGAAAGUCUGACGGAGCAAUGCCGCGUGAGUGAAGAAGGUUUUCGGAUCGUAAAACUCUGUUGUAAGGGAAGAACAAGUACGUUAGUAACUGAACGUACCUUGACGGUACCUUACCAGAAAGCCACGGCUAACUACGUG